GAUGAACGCUGGCGGCGUGCCUAAUACAUGCAAGUCGAGCGAACAGACGAGGAGCUUGCUCCUCUGACGUUUGCGGCGGACGGGUGAGUAACACGUGGAUAACCUACCUAUAAGACUGGGAUAACUUCGGGAAACCGGAGCUAAUACCGGAUAAUAUAUUGAACCGCAUGGUUCAAUAGUGAAAGACGGUUUUGCUGUCACUUAUAGAUGGAUCCGCGCCGCAUUAGCUAGUUGGUAAGGUAACGGCUUACCAAGGCAACGAUGCGUAGCCGACCUGAGAGGGUGAUCGGCCACACUGGAACUGAGACACGGUCCAGACUCCUACGGGAGGCAGCAGUAGGGAAUCUUCCGCAAUGGGCGAAAGCUUGACGGAGCAACGCCGCGUGAGUGAUGAAGGUCUUCGGAUCGUAAAACUCUGUUAUUAGGGAAGAACAAAUGUGUAAGUAACUAUGCACGUCUUGACGGUACCUAAUCAGAAAGCCACGGCUAACUACGUG
RNAcentral lists this ribosomal RNA (497 nucleotides) under uncultured bacterium. RNAcentral describes it as "partial 16S ribosomal RNA". It matches the Rfam family "Bacterial small subunit ribosomal RNA", at positions 28 to 507 of the family's 1533-position model. The record is from RNAcentral.